RNAcentral lists this long non-coding RNA (729 nucleotides) under Mytilus galloprovincialis (Mediterranean mussel). The record is from RNAcentral. Lineage: Eukaryota; Metazoa; Mollusca; Bivalvia; Mytilida; Mytilidae.
UGCUCUAAAUGUAGAAGUUUACCAACUUUAAAAAAAAAAAAAAGUUUCUAACAUGACACACCCUUCUUUCACUUUGAUAACAAAUUUAAUGAAGAAGUACAGAUACAGACAGAGGAAAGAUCAUAAUGACAAAAUAUGGUACCUUUGUUAAAAUGAGCAAAGAGCUUGAAGUGAAAUAACCAUUUCUUAAAUUAAAUUGACAUACAUUUAAUUGCAACAAUUUUAAUCUCAUACUUUAUUACUUUUAUUACUUUUUUGUGAAGACUCAAGGUCUCCGCUAUAUUUCGUAAGGUUCAAAUUUUCAAAGAUUUUUUUUGGUGGACUUUAUUACCACCCUGAUAAAAUGACAAUUGCUAUGAUUUAAAGAUGUACCUUGGCUAUGUAAGGCAUGUGUAUUGAAUAAGGCAAAACUAACUUAAUCAAUUAAUAUUUAAAGCCUUAAUACCUCAGUGUACAUCAUGUGUUCAUAAUACAAAACAAAUGAAAAUAUACCAAAUAUUGACAGACUGAUAAAGAGACAGCAUAAAUACUACAAAGUAAAUAUCUUACGAUUAAAUAAAUAUAGAUUGAUUACAGACCAUCCAAUUGAUGUAAAGUUAUUUUUAAACUUUCUACCUAUAUGUGUACUUUUCUACCAGAAGCCCAAAAUGAUCAAAUUAAUUUUACAAUAUAGACUGUUUUAACCUAUAGCUAUGCUUCAAUGAUUUGAUUAACCUUAUCCCAUUAUAU